AGAUUCUGUACUGGUUCAUAUUAACCUCCCUGUUCAGUUUGUAUCUGUAUCUUGUCCAGUGACAACUCAUUUUCAUAUUAAAAAAUAAUCAGGCAAAUUGACAUUAAACUGUCUUUCCCUUUUAUCUCCUCUUGUCCUAUCGUCUUAAACAUUAGAUGAGAGAAUCUGAUUUAAAACAUGUUGGCAGAUUAUGGUGGCAAGUUUUCCAAAUAAAGCAAAAAAUAAAUACACAUAUUUAUUAAGCAGAUAUCUCAUACUGCUCUUAUGGAAGCCUAGUGAAGUCUUUGAUGAAGUCCUUUUUUUGUAAAGCAGUUUAUUUCAUCUUGAUCUAAUGCCAAUUCAAUAUAUUUUUUAAAAGCCUUUUGCAGUCGAUUAUUGCAAAAAUAAAUUGAUGUGAAUUGUCAGAAACUUAUUUUGUAAGUGUCUAGUUCUAUCACAGACUGAACAAAGCUCUUUAGUUAUUUGAACUAAAUUCAAAUUAACAAGGAAUAGAGCUGUACCAUCUGAUUAAGGAAACUGUCUUGUCAGUGAAAUAGGAUUUUUUCUCUUCUUGGGGAUCCUUCAUUGUUGACCAGUGUGUCUUCAUGAAUAUGUAUAGCAAUUGUAAGGAAAGCUAUUUCAUAGGUUGUUUAAAAUAUAAACUGAAGGAUUUAAAGUCACUCAGUAUUCCUUUACACAAGGAUUUAUUCCAUGCAAGUAGAAUGGCAUAUCACAUCAAUUUGCAUAAUAGUUUAUCUGAGUUUAAUUUGUAAGAGAAAGAAUCCGUACCUCCC
Molecule: long non-coding RNA, 773 nt
Filed under: Bos taurus (domestic cattle)
Lineage: Eukaryota; Metazoa; Chordata; Mammalia; Artiodactyla; Bovidae
Description: long non-coding RNA NONBTAT001724
Source: RNAcentral